RNAcentral lists this ribosomal RNA (468 nucleotides) under uncultured bacterium. RNAcentral describes it as "partial 16S ribosomal RNA". It matches the Rfam family "Bacterial small subunit ribosomal RNA", at positions 28 to 507 of the family's 1533-position model. The record is from RNAcentral.
GACGAACGCUGGCGGCGUGCUUAACACAUGCAAGUCGAACGGAAAGGCCCUGCUUUUGUGGGGUGCUCGAGUGGCGAACGGGUGAGUAACACGUGAGUAACCUGCCCUUGACUUUGGGAUAACUUCAGGAAACUGGGGCUAAUACCGGAUAGGAGCUCCUGCUGCAUGGUGGGGGUUGGAAAGUUUCGGCGGUUGGGGAUGGACUCGCGGCUUAUCAGCUUGUUGGUGGGGUAGUGGCUUACCAAGGCAUUGACGGGUAGCCGGCCUGAGAGGGUGACCGGCCACAUGGGGACUGCGAUAGGGAGCAGACUGCUACGGGAGGCAGCAGUGGAGAAUAUUGCACAGUGGGGGGAAGCCUGAUGCAGCAGCGCCGCGUGCGGGAUGACGGCCUUCGGGUGGUAAACCGCUUUCGCCUGUGACGAAGCGUGAGUGACGGUAAUGGGUAAAGAAGCACCGGCUAACUACGUG